Molecule: ribosomal RNA, 1941 nt
Filed under: human gut metagenome
Description: bacterial LSU rRNA
Rfam family: Bacterial large subunit ribosomal RNA
Source: RNAcentral
AAUAGCUUUAGGGCUAGCCUUGUUUAGUAGCAUGUGGAGGUAAAGCACUGAAUAUGUGAGGGUUCUUACCAGAAUACCGAUCAUUAUCAAACUCUGAAUGCCAUGUGUGUAAGAACAGGAGUCAGACAGUGACAGCUAAGUGCCAUUGUCAAAAGGGAAAGAGCCCAGACCAACAGCUAAGGUCCCAAAAUUGUAGUUAAGUGGAAAAGGAUGUGGGAAUUCAUAGACAACCAGGAUGUUGGCUCAGAAGCAGCCAUUCAUUUAAAGAGUGCGUAAAAGCUCACUGGUCGAAGUAGGCCUGCGCCGAAAAUUACCGGGGCUAAACUACAUACCGAAGCUUUGGAUUUGGUACGUAAAGUAUUAAGUGGUAGAGGAGCGUUGUAUAAAGGUUGAAGCUAUACUGAAAAGAGUAGUGGACGAUAUACAAGAGAGAAUGCCGGAAUAAGUAGCGAGAGCACAGUGAGAAUCUGUGCCGCCGAAAACCUAAGGUUUCCUGGGGAAGGUUCGUCCGCCCAGGGUAAGUCGGGACCUAAGACGAGGCUAAAGCAGCGUAGUCGAUGGAAAGCAGGUAAAAGAUUCCUGCACUACCGAAAUGCGAUAUACAAUAUAUCAUGACGCAUCAGAAGAGUCUAAGCGAGCAAAUGGAAAAGUUCGUACCGCAAGGUGGAGUGAAAAAUAGUAACGAAGUAGAUAAAUCAGGUGACAAGAAAAGUGAUAUAGGAGCAUAGAGGUACUCGUACCGUAAACCGACACAGGUAGGAAGAAAGAGAAUUUUCAGGCGAACGAGAGAAUCAUUGUUAAGGAACUCGGCAAAUUAACCCCGUAACUUAGGGAUAAGGGGAGCCAAUAGCGAUAUUGGUCGCAGAGAAAUGGCCCAAGCAACUGUUUAGCAAAAACACAGGUUUCUGCCAAAUCGAAAGAUGAAGUAUAGGAGCUGACGCCUGCCCAGUGCUGGAAGGUCAAGGGGAAGAGUAAACGUUUCGAUGUGAAGCUCUGAACUUAAGCCCCAGUGAACGGCGGCCGUAACUAUAACGGUCCUAAGGUAGCGAAAUUCCUUGUCAGGUAAGUUCUGACCCGCACGAAAGGCGUAAUGAUUUGGGCACUGUCUCGACAAUGAACUCGGCGAAAUUGUAGUACUAGUGAAGAUGCUAGUUACCUGUGAUAAGACAGAAAGACCCCAUGGAGCUUUACUGUAGCUUGAUAUUGAGACUAGGUAAGAGAUGUACAGAAUAGAUGGGAGACUAUGAGAUAAGGACGCCAGUUCUUAAGGAGUCACCUUUGGGAUACCAUCCUUCUUUUACUUGGAAUCUAACUAGUUGCCAUGAACUGGUAAUAGGACAGUGUCAGGUGGGCAGUUUGACUGGGGCGGUCGCCUCCUAAAGAGUAACGGAGGCGUUCAAAGGUCAGCUUAACACGGUCAGAAAUCGUGUGAUGACGUGCAAAGGCGUAAGCUGGCUUGACUGCAAGACUGACAGGUCGAGCAGACGCGAAAGCGGGACUUAGUGACCCGAUGGUUGUGAGUGGAAAUGCCAGAGCUCAACGGAUAAAAGUUACCCUGGGGAUAACAGGCUUAUCUCCCCCGAGAGUCCAUAUCGACGGGGAGGUUUGGCACCUCGAUGUCGGCUCAUCGCAUCCUGGAGCGGUAGUACGUUCCAAGGGUUGGGCUGUUCGCCCAUUAAAGCGGUACGCGAGCUGGGUUCAGAACGUCGUGAGACAGUUCGGUCCUUAUCUAUCACAGGCGUAAGAUAUUUGAGAGGAGUUGCCCCUAGUACGAGAGGACCGGGGUGAAGGAACCGAUGGUGCACCAGUUGUAUCACCAGAUGCAUAGCUGGGUAGCCAAGUUCCGAUGGGAUAAACGCUGAAAGCAUAUAAGUGUGAAGCCCACCUCAAGAUUAGAUAUCUCAUGGCGAAAGUCAGUAAGACCCCAAGAAGACUACUUGG